RNAcentral lists this ribosomal RNA (432 nucleotides) under Varanus flavescens. RNAcentral describes it as "partial 16S ribosomal RNA". It matches the Rfam family "Bacterial large subunit ribosomal RNA", at positions 1971 to 2610 of the family's 2925-position model. Lineage: Eukaryota; Metazoa; Chordata; Lepidosauria; Squamata; Varanidae. The record is from RNAcentral.
GUCCCCUAAAUAGUGACUAGUAUGAACGGCUAUACAAGAAUAAACCUGUCUCUUUUGACAAAUCAGUGAAACUGAUCUUCCAGUACAAAAGCUGGAAUACCAACAUAAGACGAAAAGACCCUGUGGAGCUUCAAUAUCACUCUAUCCCCAUUAGCACAAAUAUUUUAGUUGGGGCAACUUCGGAACAAAACUAAACUUCCGAGCAUGCUCCGGAAACACCGCUAUCAAGACAAACAUGUCAAAACCCGAGCCAGAUCCAGUAACCCACUGACCAACGAACCAAGUUACCCCAGGGAUAACAGCGCCAUCUUCUUCUAGAGCCCCCAUCGACAAGAAGGUUUACGACCUCGAUGUUGGAUCAGGACACCCCAGCAGCGCAGCCGCUACUAAAGGUUCGUUUGUUCAACGAUUAAAGCCCUACGUGAUCUGAGU